This 301-nucleotide ribosomal RNA is filed under the name uncultured bacterium. RNAcentral describes it as "partial 16S ribosomal RNA". It matches the Rfam family "Bacterial small subunit ribosomal RNA", at positions 509 to 807 of the family's 1533-position model. The record is from RNAcentral.
CAGCCGCCGCGGGAAUACGUAGGGUGCAAGCGUUAAUCGGAAUUACUGGGCGUAAAGCGUGCGCAGGCGGUUAUAUAAGACAGAUGUGAAAUCCCCGGGCUCAACCUGGGAACUGCAUUUGUGACUGUAUAGCUAGAGUACGGCAGAGGGGGAUGGAAUUCCGCGUGUAGCAGUGAAAUGCGUAGAUAUGCGGAGGAACACCGAUGGCGAAGUCAAUCCCCUGGGCCUGUACUGACGCUCAUGCACGAAAGCGUGGGGAGCAAACAGGAUUAGAGACCCCCGUAGUCCCUGUCUCUUAUAC